This is a small nuclear RNA of Capsicum annuum, 165 nucleotides long. RefSeq annotates it as U1 spliceosomal RNA. The transcript has a single exon. NCBI's taxonomy places the organism in Eukaryota, Viridiplantae, Streptophyta, Magnoliopsida, Solanales, Solanaceae. The record is from RefSeq and is a predicted model, not a curated record.
ACAUAUACCAAGAUGAUCUCAAUUAGUGACCAAUAAGGCUCAUGGCCUAGGGUAGAAACGUUUAUUGCACUUAGAAGGAGUACCUAUCUCAGCUAGACCUAAGUGAUUGAGCUUUCUCACGUUAUAGUUUGUGGCUGCAAGGACACGUGUUAGUAUGGAUCGUAA